Molecule: long non-coding RNA, 1108 nt
Filed under: Heterocephalus glaber (naked mole-rat)
Lineage: Eukaryota; Metazoa; Chordata; Mammalia; Rodentia; Bathyergidae
Description: lncRNA (ENSHGLG00000038938.1)
Source: RNAcentral
CCUGUGGCAAGUUUCUCCAGGAAAAUCAACAGCCAACUAUCUUCCCCUCCAGUUCUCUCUUUAUACCAUUGGCAACAAUCCUCAGGCCUUGGAAAGUGUUCCAGGAAUGGACUUUCUGCAGUAUGAUGACCUGCAAAAGCACCCUUUCCAUUUAUGCUUCAAACUCCAAGUCAGCCGUGUCAAAGUUUGCACUAGGGCUGUGGAGGAUAAUGGGUCAGAUGCAAUUAGCAGCCGAGAGAGCUGCACAUUGCACUCUGAUUUAUUUUUUUGCCCAUCAGAUUCCAAGAAUCCUAGUGCUUAAAAGCAACUAAACAAUCACUCUAUUGUACUGAAAUAAAGCCCAGUUAAUUCAAAAAUCAAUUGCACCACCAGGUGGGGCACACUCUGGCCCCAAACAGAUGGGGUCGAAGCCCCUCCAUCCCCCAACGAAGUCUUGUUAAAUUAAAAACUUGAUCCAGAAGUGGAACAAAUAGGGAGCCAUGAAUGGAAUGGAGUCAGGUCCACUCAGGCGAAUUCUUUCUUCUCUCAGGCUUUUCCCUUCCUUUCAAAGUGAAAAAUUUACCAUUCCACUUUCUCCAGUGUUAACAUCUCUGCAGAAACGCAGCCAUCCACCCUUUGCAGUUCAAUAUGUUACUUUAAUUAGUCUGAAAAUUAAAGGGCAACUCUGGGCCAAUGUGAAUGAUUAUGAAAAUACAUGUGCAUCCCAUGCAAUCCUCUCAUUUAAUUAAUAGUCUUGUAAACUAUAUGGCACACUUGAAGUCAGUUGAGAGGUAUAACAACUCCAUUUUAAUAUCCACUUAAUAUUUAACAGAAUGUGAGGAACACGCUGAAGCAUACAGUCCCUUCUCAAGUUUCACUGUCUGAAAAUUUUCAAAGCUGACCCAAGUCAACCCGAAAAAUGUUUAACACCCUGGGCUUGAACACAAGAAACUCUGUGAUGAACAGACAUUCAAUUACAUUUUUUAAAAGUGAGAAGCAUUUUUGUAAAAUAGCUGCUCUGGAAACUAAUUGGCAGACAGGAAACUAGUGAGUGAAGGCCAAAUCUUGUGGGGAACUUUUACUACAGUAACAGGACUCAAAGAAAAUGUGAAUAAAAGGCAUCUUUGUU